This 390-nucleotide ribosomal RNA is filed under the name Triticum aestivum (bread wheat). Its description in RNAcentral is "partial small subunit ribosomal RNA". Lineage: Eukaryota; Viridiplantae; Streptophyta; Magnoliopsida; Poales; Poaceae. The record is from RNAcentral.
AUGCGCUCCUCCACCGUUGCCUCCACCACCGGUUCAACGAGGCUGCACGUCGGUGACCUUCCUCGUGCCCCAUUCCCAUAUCUCAUGGCCACAAUGCAUGUCUCAGAAAGGCCAACAAUCCUGCUGCACUAUCUAUUGAUUUAUCUUAUUCUUGUCAAUUUCAUAGUUCAAAACUGUACGAUGCAAACAAUUGAUACUCUUACCUGGAUGCAGAUUUGUCACCGUCUUACUUCCUCCACGACUCAGAUGCUUCAGACUGUCAGGGAAUACAACAUCAAGGACGACAUGGCAAAUAAGAUCGAGGGGCUUGGGCAGGGGCACCCCAGCUUCUACCCGCCCGCGUCGUGGAUCCCGCCUUCAAUCACGAUGCCUAGGUCACAUUUGAAUUAG